CACACCGCCCGUCACACCAUGAGAGUUGGUAACACCCGAAGUCCGUGAGGUAACCAGUAAUGGAGCCAGCGGCCGAAGGUGGGAUUGAUGAUUGGGGUG
This 99-nucleotide ribosomal RNA is filed under the name uncultured bacterium. Its description in RNAcentral is "partial 16S ribosomal RNA". It matches the Rfam family "Bacterial small subunit ribosomal RNA", at positions 1386 to 1482 of the family's 1533-position model. The record is from RNAcentral.